GAAAUGCGAUAAGUAAUGUGAAUUGCAGAUUUUCAGUGAAUCAUCGAAUCUUUGAACGCACCUUGCGCCCCAUGGUAUUCCGUGGGGCAUGCCUGUUUGAGUGUCAUUAAAUUAUCAACCCUCUACUUGUUUUACGAUGAGCAGAGUUGGAUUGGACUUGAGGUGUGCUGGUCAUUCAAUUGAUCGGCUCCCUUUUAAAUGCAUCAGCGGAGCCACUCGCCUCCGGCUAACAUCGACGUGAUAAUCAUCUUACAUCGUUGUCUACCGGUUCCAGAGUCCGCUUAUAAUCGUCCCUUUGCUGGGACAAUCAUUAUGACAAUUUGACCUCAAAUCAGGUAGGACUACCCGCUGAACUUAA
RNAcentral lists this unclassified non-coding RNA (358 nucleotides) under uncultured Agaricomycetes. Its description in RNAcentral is "sequence contains ITS1". The stretch from base 1 to 106 matches the Rfam family "5.8S ribosomal RNA", at positions 50 to 154 of the family's 154-position model. The record is from RNAcentral. Lineage: Eukaryota; Fungi; Basidiomycota; Agaricomycetes.